UGGGGAAUUUUCCGCAAUGGGCGAAAGCCUGACGGAGCAAGACCGCGUGGGGGAGGAAAGCUCUAGGGUUGUAAACCCCUUUUCUUUGGGAAGAAGUACUGACGGUACCAAAGGAAUCAGCCUCGGCUAACUCCGUGCCAGCAGCCGCGGUAAUACGGAGGAGGCAAGCGUUAUCCGGAAUGAUUGGGCGUAAAGCGUCCGCAGGUGGCCAUGUAAGUCUGCUGUCAAAACCCAGGGCUUAACUCUGGUCAGGCAGUGGAAACUACAAAGCUAGAGUUCGGUAGGGGCAAAGGGAAUUCCCGGUGUAGCGGUGAAAUGCGUAGAUAUCGGGAAGAACAUCGGUGGCGAAAGCGCUUUGCUAGACCAAAACUGACACUCAGGGACGAAAGCUAGGGGAGCGAAUGGG
RNAcentral lists this ribosomal RNA (406 nucleotides) under uncultured bacterium. RNAcentral describes it as "bacterial SSU rRNA". It matches the Rfam family "Bacterial small subunit ribosomal RNA", at positions 355 to 776 of the family's 1533-position model. The record is from RNAcentral.